CCAAUAGCGUAUAUUAAAGUUGUUGCAGUUAAAAAGCUCGUAGUUGAACUUCGGGGUUCACCCAUUGGUCAGGCUUAAUUGUCUGCACUGGUGAGAUGAGUCUCUACCUUCUGAGGAACUUUCAUGCCAUUUAUUUGGUGUGAUUGGAAAUCAGGACUGUUACUUUGAAAAAAUUAGAGUGUUUAAAGCAGGCUAACGUCUGAAUACAUUAGCAUGGAAUAAUGAAAUAGGACGGACUGAUUCUAUUUCGUUGGUUUCUAGGAUCACCGUAAUGAUUAAUAGGGAUAGUUGGGGGCAUUAGUAUUCAAUUGUCAGAGGUGAAAUUCUUGGAUUUAUUGAAGACUAACUACUGCGAAAGCAUUUGCCAAGGAUGUUUUCAUUAAUCAAGAACGAAAGUUAGGGGAUCGAAGACGAUCAGAUACCGUCGUAGUCUUAACCAUAAACUAUGCCGACUAGGGAUCGGAUGAUGUUAAUUUUUUAAUGACUCAUUCGGCGCCUUACG
RNAcentral lists this ribosomal RNA (502 nucleotides) under uncultured Glomeromycotina. Its description in RNAcentral is "partial small subunit ribosomal RNA". It matches the Rfam family "Eukaryotic small subunit ribosomal RNA", at positions 591 to 1092 of the family's 1831-position model. The record is from RNAcentral. Lineage: Eukaryota; Fungi; Glomeromycota.